CGCGGUAAUUCCAGCUCCAAUAGCGUAUAUUAAAGUUGUUGCGGUAAAAAAGCUCGUAGUUGGAUUUCUGUUGAGGACGACCGGUCCGUACCAUGUACGCGCAUCUGGUUCGGCCUCGGCAUCCUCUCGAUAGACGUUUCUGCGCUUGAUUGCGUGGAGCGGAUUUCGGGACUUUUACUUUGAGGAAAUUAGAGUGUUCACGGCAGGCUAUCGCCAGAAUACAUUAGCAUGGAAUAAUAUUAUAGGAUCUCGGUUCUAUUUUGUUGGUUUCUAGACCCGGGGUAAUGAUUAAUAGGGACAAUUGGGGGCAUUUGUAUCAACACGUCAGAGGUGGAAUUCUUGGAUUGUGUUGCGACAAACUACUGCGAAAGCAUUUGCCAAGGAUGUUUUCAUUGAUCAAGAACGAAAGUAAGGGGAUCGAAGACGAUUAGAUACCGUCGUAGUCUUUACCAUAAACUAUGCCGACUAGAGAUGGGGCAUCGUUCACUUACGACUUGCUCCGCAUCUUAUGAGAUAUCAAAGUCUUUGGGUUCCGGGGGGAGUAUGGUCGCAAGUCUGAAACUUAAAGGAAUUGACGGAAGGGCACCACCAGGAGUGGAGCCUGCGGCUUAAUUUGACUCAACACGGGGAAACUCACCAGGUCCAGACAUAAUAAGGAUUGACAGAUUGAUAGCUCUUUCUUGAUUUUAUGGGUGGUGGUGCAUGGCCGUUCUUAGUUCGUGGAGUGAUUUGUCUGCUUAAUUGCGUUAACGAACGAGACCUUAACCUGCUAAAUAGGAGCGCAUAUCUUCGGAUAAGCGCCUUUCUUCUUAGAGGGACUGCAUGCGUUUCAGUAUGCGGAAGUUUGAGGCUAAAACAGGUCUGU
This 865-nucleotide ribosomal RNA is filed under the name uncultured eukaryote. RNAcentral's name for it is "SSU rRNA". It matches the Rfam family "Eukaryotic small subunit ribosomal RNA", at positions 575 to 1465 of the family's 1831-position model. The record is from RNAcentral.